AAACAGCCACCUUUUAAAAAGCGUUAAAGCUUUAUUACUAAAACAUAUUAAUACCUCAACAUACUCAAAACCCUUAAUUACUACUGAAUGACUCUAUAUUUGUAUAGAGAACUAUAUGCUAGAACUAGUAACAAGAAGAUGAACUUCUCCAAAAUACAAGUGUAAGCCGAGAUGAACUUCUCAACGGCAUUUAUCGCUAAUGAACUUAAAGUAGUAACCAAACAAGAAAAUCCUACUUGAACCCAGCGUUAACCUUACACCAGAGUAUUUCCAGAAAGAUUAAAAAAUAGGGAAGGAACUCGGCAAAUUAUUAACCUCGCCUGUUUACCAAAAACAUCGCCUCCUGAAAAAUCGUAGGAGGUCCAGCCUGCCCAGUGACAUAGUUAAACGGCCGCGGUACCCUAACCGUGCGAAGGUAGCGCAAUCACUUGUUCUUUAAAUGAGGACUAGUAUGAAUGGCAUCACGAGGGUUACACUGUCUCCCCUAUUUAAUCAGUGAAACUGAUCUCCCCGUGAAGAAGCGGGGAUAAAAUUAUAAGACGAGAAGACCCCAUGGAGCUUUAAACUCAGUAUUAACUGUUUCAAGAUAAAUCAAAGUAAUUUAACAGAAAUGACUACUAGUUUUCGGUUGGGGUGACCGCGGAGAAAAACAAAACCUCCACGAUGAACGGGCCUUAUGCCCUUAUCUAAGAGCUACUGCUCUAAGAAUCAAAAAAUUGACAAAAAUUGAUCCAAGUACUCUUGAUCAACGAACCAAGUUACCCUGGGGAUAACAGCGCAAUCCAUUUCAAGAGCUCCUAUCGACAAAUGGGUUUACGACCUCGAUGUUGGAUCAGGGUAUCCCAGUGGUGCAGCCGCUACUAAAGGUUCGUUUGUUCAACGAUUAAAACCCUACGUCAUCUGAUCCCAGAAACGGAAGAA
This 921-nucleotide ribosomal RNA is filed under the name Micryletta inornata (false ornate narrow-mouthed frog). Its description in RNAcentral is "partial large subunit ribosomal RNA". It matches the Rfam family "Bacterial large subunit ribosomal RNA", at positions 1110 to 2627 of the family's 2925-position model. The record is from RNAcentral. Lineage: Eukaryota; Metazoa; Chordata; Amphibia; Anura; Microhylidae.